GAUGAAGAACGUAGCGAAAUGCGAUACGUAAUGUGAAUUGCAGAAUUCAGUGAAUCAUCGAAUCUUUGAACGCAUAUUGCGCUCUCUGGUAUUCCGGAGAGCAUGCUUGUUUGAGUAUCAGUAAACACCUCAACUUCCAUAUCUUUUUUGAAAUGGGAGUUGGACUUGAGUGAUCCCAACGCUUUUCCUCACCGAAAAGUGGCGGGUUACUUGAAAUGCAGGUGCAGCUGGACUUUUCUCUGAGCUAUAAGCAUAUCUAUUUAGUCUGCCUAAAAACAGAUUAUUACCUUUGCUGCAGCUAACAUAAAGGAGAUUAGUUCUUGUGCUGACUGAUGCAGGAUUCACAAAGACAGGCUUCGGCCGACUUUGUAAACUCGAUCUCAAAUCAAGUAAGACUACCCGCUGAACUUAAGCAUAUCAAUAAGCGGAGA
This 431-nucleotide unclassified non-coding RNA is filed under the name soil metagenome. Its description in RNAcentral is "partial contains 5.8S ribosomal RNA, internal transcribed spacer 2, and large subunit ribosomal RNA". The stretch from base 1 to 120 matches the Rfam family "5.8S ribosomal RNA", at positions 35 to 154 of the family's 154-position model. The record is from RNAcentral.